GCCAGGUCAAGAAGGAGCUGAGCGAGAGCAAAUAUCCUCCGACAGGUGGUGGCCCGCUACGAAAAAUGUCCACCAUGUCAGAAAAAGUAAUCGAGCUGUAUGGGGAAGAUGCGCCAGCAAUGACGGGUGUCAGUGGUGUUGAGACUGUCUAUUCAACUAGAAACCGUGCCAUCUGCGAACUACUCCUCUUUUGAUAUGAAUGCAACCUACAUCCACCUCAACAGCCACCUGCACCUGCUUACUGCACUGACCCUCUUCAAGCCAACUCUGAUGGCCAAAGAGCAAAGAAGGCAAAGCGGUCACCCACAAAGUGUUCCCAGACUUCCAUUUGUGGGGAAAAGGCACGCCUGCAUUGCAAGGUUUUGGAGUUGGAGAAAGAAAAACUAAAAUUUGAAAUUACAAAGUUGCAGCUUGAAAUUGUACUUUUGCAGAACCAACUUGCUGAAAGAGGUGUAACAAUUGUCCAGGGCACAGAAGAGUAGGCUGUAGAAUCAUUCAUUCAUUCUCUAUCUCUUUCUCUAUCUAUAUGGAUAACAGCUUUAUCUUCUUUGUUCCUUGUGCUAUGUGUGUCCUGACCUUUUCAUUUUAGAUAGUUUGAAAAAGAAAUGAAGCCUGAGAGCAGGCAAUGUUAUAAAUGUUCUGGAUUGGAUUGGGAAAAAGAAUUCAGAUGUCAUGGAUUUAAAAUAGGCUACAUUUUUUAUGUGCAAAAGCUGAACUGUUAAUAAAGUACUGUAUAUUAAACACCCACCGCAAAAUAAUAAUAAAUUUUAAUAAACAUAUCAAAAUGAAUAGGAGUUUAGAAUACUACAUAAACUUGGUUUAACUUUCCAGAAUGAUUUCAGCUACUGGCCAUCCACCUUUAGGGGCCUUGUUACCUUCUCUCCAUUCUGCUCUAAAAAUUUGGUCUUCUUCAUCAAAUUCACUUAAGGAGAUAAAAUUUCGGACCCAACGGGAUAUCACUAUAAGUGUUUUUAUCCUCUCCACUUUUGCAAUUUACUAACGCAUAAGUCUCACGCAUUUUAGCUAAAUGGCGAAGGGAUGAAGAUUGCAGCUACUAUAAUUUUUUUCUGGCGGGGAGGCGAAAGUCGGAAGGAGUGUAACGUUUGUUCGAGGGACGGAGCAUUCGGUAUUUGGAGUUGCAAACAGUAGGCCUAUUUAAUAAAACCCAAAUCCACACUUCCAAAAAAGGACAGUGACAAGAUGGAAAAAAGACGACGCAAGGAGGAUUUCAGUACUGUGGCAGUCAAGAAGCAUACACGUUAGCAGCAAGAAACCGAGUCUGAUUAUGAGACAAUGGAAUUACAUCUAAUAACGUUGAAACAGCCUUUGAGGAACAUGAGGGCACAUCAAAUGAUAGUCAUUCAGAUUGCUCAACAGAUGAUGAAAACACAGCAGAUAAUGAAGAAAGCACAGCUUUUGGCCUUGAAAUAGGUUCUGAGUUUCCUGAAGAAAGGAACAAUAAUCAUUCUGAUUCCUGUGAUAUUCCCUGCACCACAGUGUCACCUUUGGAACAAAGGACCAUGUUUGUGCCUCAGUAAAUGUCAGUAAUAUCAUAUAUUUGUUCAUAUAUAUAUAUAUAUAUAUAUAUAU
Molecule: long non-coding RNA, 1590 nt
Organism: Acipenser ruthenus (sterlet)
Lineage: Eukaryota; Metazoa; Chordata; Actinopteri; Acipenseriformes; Acipenseridae
Exons: 6
Source: RefSeq, a predicted model, not a curated record